UCAUCUAAAACAUGCAUAGAUACAUACAUCAGCUCCUAGGGGCUUCAAACUAUCCUAAACCCCAUCUACAACACAUCAAACAUGCAUAUCCAACAUACAUUGUCCAUAAAACACAUAAAACCUAACAAUGCUCAACUAGCAUAAACAUACAUUUUUACCCCAUGAAUCAACUUAAAACUUGUUUAAAACAUAUAGUGAGCUCAAGAUCGGC
RNAcentral lists this long non-coding RNA (211 nucleotides) under Manihot esculenta (cassava). RNAcentral's name for it is "long non-coding RNA (MESC_LNC005445)". Lineage: Eukaryota; Viridiplantae; Streptophyta; Magnoliopsida; Malpighiales; Euphorbiaceae. The record is from RNAcentral.